Molecule: ribosomal RNA, 495 nt
Filed under: uncultured bacterium
Lineage: Bacteria
Description: bacterial SSU rRNA
Rfam family: Bacterial small subunit ribosomal RNA
Source: RNAcentral
AUUGAACGCUGGCGGCAUGCCUUACACAUGCAAGUCGAACGGUAACAGGUCUUCGGAUGCUGACGAGUGGCGAACGGGUGAGUAAUACAUCGGAACGUGCCCGAUCGUGGGGGAUAACGGAGCGAAAGCUUUGCUAAUACCGCAUACGAUCUACGGAUGAAAGCAGGGGACCGCAAGGCCUUGCGCGGACGGAGCGGCCGAUGGCAGAUUAGGUAGUUGGUGGGAUAAAAGCUUACCAAGCCGACGAUCUGUAGCUGGUCUGAGAGGACGACCAGCCACACUGGGACUGAGACACGGCCCAGACUCCUACGGGAGGCAGCAGUGGGGAAUUUUGGACAAUGGGCGCAAGCCUGAUCCAGCCAUGCCGCGUGCAGGAUGAAGGCCUCGGUUGUAACUGCUUUGUACGACGAAAGAACUACUCUAAUAAAGGGUACGAUGACGGUACGUAACGAAUAAGACACCGGCUAACUACGUGCCAGCAGCCGCGGUAAAAGU